Molecule: ribosomal RNA, 17 nt
Filed under: Pseudofusicoccum sp. MT-2008a
Lineage: Eukaryota; Fungi; Ascomycota; Dothideomycetes; Botryosphaeriales; Botryosphaeriaceae
Also listed under: 1 other name
Description: partial 28S ribosomal RNA
Source: RNAcentral
CUAGGUUGACCUCGGAU